This 440-nucleotide ribosomal RNA is filed under the name uncultured bacterium. Its description in RNAcentral is "partial 16S ribosomal RNA". It matches the Rfam family "Bacterial small subunit ribosomal RNA", at positions 338 to 795 of the family's 1533-position model. The record is from RNAcentral.
CCUACGGGUGGCAGCAGUGGGGAAUAUUGCACAAUGGGGGAAACCCUGAUGCAGCGAAGCCGCGUGAGUGAAGAAGUAUUUAGGUAUGUAAAGCUCUGUCAGCAGGGAAGAAAAUGACGGUAGUUGACCAAGAAGCCCCGGCUAACUAAGGGCCAGCAGCCGCGGUAAUACGGAGGGGGCAAGCGUUAUCCGGAUUUACUGGGUGUAAAGGGGGCGUAGACGGGAGGGGAAGUCUGGAGUGAAAGGCGGGGGCUCAACCCCCGGACUGCUCUGGAAACUGCCAGGCUGGAGUGCAGGAGAGGUAAGUGGAAUGCCUAGUGUAGCGGUGAAAUGCGUAGAUAUUAGGAGGAACACCAGUGGCGAAGGCGGCUUACUGGACUGUAACUGACGUUGAGGCUCGAAAGCGUGGGGAGCAAACAGGAUUAGAUACCCGUGUAGUC